GACAAAGGCUCGCCAUUCUUUCGAGACUGUCUAAUCUUGAGGAUAUCGAUGGGCGUCACCUGAAAUGUGUGCUGCCUGCAUCAAGGAUCUUCCGCGCUCAUUUCCUCAAAGUAUCGUGAGCCUCGCUUGGUUGAAAAACACUUCGGGGGCAUCGGAGCUGUCUUGCAAACAGCUGUUUCGCACUGGACGACCGCAGGUGUCGUGAGCAGGCAUCAGCAUGGCAGACUUCGAAAUCCAGCCGGCAAGCGAAGUUCGGACCUUCAUAGAUCAUGGACCCAACUUCCUCAAACAACUGGCCCAAGACAGCGUCAGAGUCGAGCCCGCUUCGACGGGAUCAGGAUGGGUGUACACGGACGCGAACUUCAUAAUGGUUGCUAUGUGCGCUUGUGUUCUGGCAUUUAUGAUGGUCAUCACCGUGUUCAUUUACCACCGUGAGAAGAUUCGUCGUAUCGUCACCGGAGAGAACCGCAGAGUCGGCAGUGUAUACUAUGUGCGUCCUGGAAUCAGUGCCUUCCAACCGACAGAAAUUUAAAAUGUGUUAGUCUGAGGAUCGUCUUCCCGGAUCGCUUCAUGACGAGGCGACUCCAACAGGAAUCCCUGAUGAGUCUGUGAACAUUGUAAAACUUGAAGUCCGUGUACUCGCGAAUCCUCUCGAGACUAUUCUGAAUUCACCACGGAGAAUCAUUUUUCAUCUCAACCGUUAUCCCGGAGCGGGAAGGUCACAGAGUCCAUCGAGAAGAUGCUGCCUUUGGACGGCGUCAUCGAUAUAUAUUCUCGCGAUAGUUCUCAUUCAAGUUUCCACAUUUUGGUUGUUUCGUCCAAUAUACGAACGAGAGGAGUGGCUGGAAAUUCCGAAUCGCGACGCGACUUUUGAACGAGCAUUCGUUUGCAUAAUGUGUAUCAUGGACACCGAAAACAGUUGGACAUGCUCUCCAUACACUUGAACGGGACGUACAUGUGGAGAAUAUGUCAGAGGAAGAGGGACUACUACUUAAAGGCAGCCGAAGCACGGCGUCGCGGAUCGAUACGAAGCAUUCCAAUAUAAGGUUAUCUGCUGACAUGGAGUACCUAUUAAACUAUUGAGUUCCGGGACGUGAAUCCGUCGUGAGUCCGCUCAUCUUGUGACGACUUUUGGAUAAAUAAAUGGAUGGAUGGACAUCGAGGAAGGAAGAAACU
Galendromus occidentalis (western predatory mite) is the source of this 1176-nucleotide long non-coding RNA. RefSeq lists it as uncharacterized. The transcript has 4 exons. The record is from RefSeq and is a predicted model, not a curated record. NCBI's taxonomy places the organism in Eukaryota, Metazoa, Arthropoda, Arachnida, Mesostigmata, Phytoseiidae.